This 753-nucleotide ribosomal RNA is filed under the name uncultured Comamonadaceae bacterium. RNAcentral describes it as "bacterial SSU rRNA". It matches the Rfam family "Bacterial small subunit ribosomal RNA", at positions 28 to 776 of the family's 1533-position model. Lineage: Bacteria; Pseudomonadati; Pseudomonadota; Betaproteobacteria; Burkholderiales; Comamonadaceae. The record is from RNAcentral.
AUUGAACGCUGGCGGCAUGCCUUACACAUGCAAGUCGAACGGCAGCACGGGAGCAAUCCUGGUGGCGAGUGGCGAACGGGUGAGUAAUACAUCGGAACGUGCCCAAUCGUGGGGGAUAACGCAGCGAAAGCUGUGCUAAUACCGCAUACGAUCUACGGAUGAAAGCAGGGGAUCGCAAGACCUUGCGCGAAUGGAGCGGCCGAUGGCAGAUUAGGUAGUUGGUGAGGUAAAGGCUCACCAAGCCGUCGAUCUGUAGCUGGUCUGGGAGGACGACCAGCCACACUGGGACUGAGACACGGCCCAGACUCCUACGGGAGGCAGCAGUGGGGAAUUUUGGACAAUGGGCGAAAGCCUGAUCCAGCCAUGCCGCGUGCAGGAUGAAGGCCUUCGGGUUGUAAACUGCUUUUGUACGGAACGAAACGGCCUUUUUCUAAUAAAGAGGGCUAAUGACGGUACCGUAAGAAUAAGCACGGGCUAACUACGUGCCAGCAGCCGCGGUAAUACGUAGGGUGCAAGCGUUAAUCGGAAUUACUGGGCGUAAAGCGUGCGCAGGCGGUUAUGUAAGACAGUUGUGAAAUCCUCGGGCUUCAACCUGGGAACUGCAUCUGUGACUGCAUAGCUAGAGUACGUAGAGGGGGAUGAAUUCCGCGUGUAGCAGUGAAAUGCGUAGAUAUGCGGAGGAACACCGAUGGCGGAUGCAAUCUUCUGGAUGUGUACUGACGCUUCAUGCACGAAGGUUGGGGAGCAAACAGG